Molecule: long non-coding RNA, 3835 nt
Organism: Oxyura jamaicensis (ruddy duck)
Lineage: Eukaryota; Metazoa; Chordata; Aves; Anseriformes; Anatidae
Exons: 3
Source: RefSeq, a predicted model, not a curated record
GGGACCAAGUUAUCAUAACCCGCUUUAUUUGAAGGCCUUUGCUGCUGUAUGAGUUGCUGGAGUGCAAUGCCUGAAAAGAGAAAUGAGCUGUUGGUGAGUGGGAUCCUUUCUAUCGGUGCAUUUAUCAUGGCAGGGGCCCUUCUGAGAGCAGUUGGGGUUGCACGUGUGUAAGAUGUCAGGGCUGUCAGGCAGUUUGACUGCACGGACUGUCUGUCAGAAGCCAGGCUACCAAAUGCCAGCGUGAGCCCGGAGGCUGGAGCUGUGACGCAGGUGCAGGAGGGAUGUGGUGUAAUCAGGAAAAUUGGUCUUGACCUCAGAUGUCUUCCAGUAAGUGGAAACAGUCCUGUGUUGAGUAAUACUUAAAUUAACUGGAGUCGUCUCUGUGUUUUUGACUUUAAAGCUCUGUGCUGGACCUGUGCAACAUACAGCUAAUUCUGUUUGAUUUUCUCCUUCUCCCAAACUGUUCCCCUCUGCUCUUCCAGUCCUAUCUAUCCAACAGGCUCCUUGGACCCGGUUUCGUUGGAACCAGAACCAGUUCCUCCAGGGAGCACCAGCGAGGACUGCUCUAGCUGUUCAUCACUUAAGUGAUCUUUGUCCUGGGGGGUCUGAGUGGUGCUGCCCUGGUGGGGGACCCUGCCUGCGAGGGAACCCAGCUCAAAGUGGGAGCCUGACCCCUGUGCUCACCUGCGUGAGGAGGUAGGUUGCUGUAACUUCCCAUCCAAGCUGUCCACCUGGCAAAGGGCAUCCUCCUUUUGAGGGGGACUUACUCUGGAACUGGCUUUUGAUUAGUAAAGAGCUACUCGAAGAAAUCCUUUAAGAAAAGAUAUGCAGAGCUGAGUCACAGAGAUGCAAGUCUCUACAUCUGACAGAAAUAGAUAACAAAGAUAAUCCUCUGAGUGGAGGGCAUCUUGGCAAACCGUGUCUAUUUUAAUGCUGUUGUUGUUCUCUACCAGCUAUAUCGACCCAUCUGUGGAGAGCCAAAGUGUGGUGAGUGGCUGCUGCAGCAAAGGGUGUAAAUUAAGGGUCCAAAAAUGCCAUGUGAUUCUCCAGUCAUAGCUGCAACUUCAGUGGAAGUUUGUUCCUAUAGUAACUGCCAGAUAAAUUAUAUAAGGUAGCAAACACACUCGGGAGCUUGUGCCAGCCUCUUCAGAAAAUGCCUCUGGUAUAAAGGUAACUCAUCUUCCGAAAUACAAGUAGGCUAUCAAAACAAGCUAGAGAAGCAAGAAUAGCUGCAUGUAGUCCUCCUCAGGUCGGUGCAGAAUAGUGAUUACUUUGUGUGUCCCAGGAAAUCUAGGGCAGAAAACCUUGAGCUUUUGAGAGAGACUGUCUUGGAUCAGAGCUUCCUUUGACUGUGAAGCUGGAUUUGCCUGUGCUGUUUGGCCUUUCAGUGCCCUGCAGGAAGGACCCACCCUGCUGUUCACAGCAUCCAUUUCAAUUUCCUCUGCUUUGCUCUGCGCCUGUAUCGUCACAGCACCUCUUCAGAGAGCAAGAUGGUAACAACGAUAAGACUUGGGUUGAAAUCUUCUGCUGCAGGCUUACCACUACUCAUUGUUAGAUCUGGUGUUCUGGGAACAACAGGUCAAAUUCUGCGAUGUGACUGCCUUCAAAGCCACCAGGCACUUGGGCAGUAGGCAUUUUGGGUAAACUGCAGAGGCUUCAUAACCUGCUCUGCAGAAAACGGAGCCAGCAGCAGUCUGCUUGAUCUGAGUUGGCCAGUAAGGUGCCUGCUGUAAACAUUGUGGUUUGGGGAAACAGUACAUGGUUGCUGAUAACAUAGCUAAGAAGAAUUUAAAGGCAAAGCUCCAAGCUGUUGUCUGGAGCAAUAAUCUCAACCACUGUGGAUGCCUCUGGCUCUUCCAUUUUCAUGCAAAGAAUGGUUAAGGCCUGUAGUUACUGCAGCAAUCCUUUAUUUGGAAAAACAAACACCAAAAAAAGGCCACUAACUUGCAUGUAUUAAUAGCUACCUGGCAUAAUCAAGAGAUCUUGAAGUUGAGUUUAACUGUCUCUUUCACUUGCCAGCAGAGUUUACCUUGUUUUCCCCAGAUAAUCUGAACACUUGAUUGCAGAACAGACAUCUACAGUCGAGAGGAGAGGAAGCUGUUUUGUAACACAGCUUUUGUCAUAGCUUCUCUAUGAAUGGAAUGAAUUUCAGUAAGUCAUUAAGCAAUCCCUUUCCAGAAUAAGGAAACCACAAGUCAAAGGAAGCUCUUGGAUACUUGGCUGUUUCCUCAUUUGGCUCUGCAAAAACUAGGGCUUUUCAACUUUGACUCGAUGAGAAAUUUCCAAGUGCUGGUGAAGGCUUGUAGGAGAGGAUGUGGAUGUCAUCUCGCUGGGACUACCCCUCUCCAAGGAGCUUUUCCCACAUCCCCUUUCCCUGUGUGUGCAGAGAGGGUGGUUGUACCAUGCUGGAGCUCAACACAUGUAGUAGUGUUAGCUGGGAUCAAUGGGCCUGGCAGGCACACUUCCCAGUUACAGCUGGGCUUUUGCUGGAUCGCCUGCAAGUCAAAUGAUUGUUUGCACUAAGAAUAUUUCAUUAGGCUUUGAAUAGCUGUGUGCUCUCCUUCCUGCCUGUGAAAGCAUCUAUUUUUCCCCUGACCCCCUCCCUUCUCAAAAGAGCAGUGGCUUUGCAGCCAAUUUCUGUUUUAUUUUUAAAUGCUUUCUGGAGGGUUAUUAGUGAAGAAACUUGCACAAGUAGCUUGAGCCAAAAUGUAAUGUCUGAAUAAAGGAUGAGGAGUGAAUCCCCUUGGGAUCCCUCAAUGGAUCCCUCGAUCACUCCAGGGUGUGAACUUUCAGCAAGUGGCUACAGUGUGAUGUGUACUAGCCAGGCUGGACUUGGGCUUUAAAGGGAAUUGAGAGCUUUUUCACCAAGGGCAGAUGAUUCAGACAGUCCUUUUAGGCAUUAAUGUUUCAGUUGUGGGUGCUAACUUAAGCUGGUAUGGGCAGCUUGGUAUGCAGUGUUUAUUUUGACAUGCUGGGAUAUAAAACAGGCCAUGAAACCAGCUCAUGGAGGCACUGACUGGGCAGCAGGGUUUCUCACAUAUAGCUCUCUAGUCUGUUCUGGAUACAGGUGCAUCUCUCUUUAGAAAUGCCCUGUCAGGCAUUCAGUACAGCUUUCUUAAAUGACAGCUGACUGGGAUCUCUCUGCAACCAUUCCCAGGCUAGGAAUAUACCCAAAGGUGGUCUUGUCUAGCCUUAACAUUGUGCUAGAACUGAGUGCACAGCCAAGCGCUUGAAUCUGCUUUGAUUAGUAGCUGAUUCUUCUUCAAAACUGCUUUUUCCUCUUGUUCAUCUGCAAAUGGCAUUCUCCAGGAAGCAUUUUGCAUAUCUGAGGCACUGCGCAGGGGCACGAGAUGAUUAAUCAGAACCAAGCAAGUGAUGCCCAGCUCUGGUUAGUGCCAAGGAACUUGCUUUAAUUUCCAUGGAUGUUAAAAUUUGGUAUAAUACUGAAACGACCGAGUGCAGCAUCAGGCUUGCAUGUCUGAUGCUGGUUGUCGUUGCAGCAAACUUUAGUUUUGCAUAUGGAAAGUGAGUUUUCAUUUGGGCCUCAAGCUCUAAAGCCAUCUGGUAGCUGUGUGGAUGCCAGCCUAAAGGGAACUAUUUUUAUGAUGUUAGUGAGUGUAUUCAUGCAAGGACCAAUUUAUUUCAUGUUUCUUUCUACUGGUUUAAUAAGCCAAAUGCUUCUGUGAGCUGUGCCUUAAAAACCUUUAGUCUGUGAGGGCUCAAUUUUUGUGAUUCAAUGAACCUGGAGGGCAGAAUGCUCCCUGUGGUGUCCUGGGCCCUCCCGAGUGUCCGAAGGCCUCAGGGAGAGAUGAGGCCUCUGGCGGCUCCAGCAGUG